RNAcentral lists this ribosomal RNA (215 nucleotides) under uncultured Clostridium sp. RNAcentral's name for it is "partial 16S ribosomal RNA". It matches the Rfam family "Bacterial small subunit ribosomal RNA", at positions 1169 to 1382 of the family's 1533-position model. The record is from RNAcentral. Lineage: Bacteria; Bacillati; Bacillota; Clostridia; Eubacteriales; Clostridiaceae.
GGAAGUGGGAUGAACGUCAAGUCCUCAUCGGCCCUUAUGACCGAGGCUACACACGUGCUACAAGUGGCGGUACAAAGAGUUGCGAUACCGCGAGGUGGAGCAAAUCUCACAAACCCCAUCCCAGUUCGGAUUGCAGGCUGAAACUCGCCUGCAUGAAGCCGGAGUUGCUAGUAAUCGCGAAUCAGCAUGUCGCGGUGAAUACGUUCCCGGGCCUU